Molecule: unclassified non-coding RNA, 121 nt
Filed under: uncultured fungus
Lineage: Eukaryota; Fungi
Description: partial contains 18S rRNA and ITS1
Rfam family: Eukaryotic small subunit ribosomal RNA (bases 1-46)
Source: RNAcentral
AAGUCGUAACAAGGUCUCCGUUGGUGAACCAGCGGAGGGAUCAUUACCGAGUUUACAACUCCCAAACCCCAUGUGAACAUACCUGUUUCGUUCCCUCGGCGGUGUCCGGCAACGGCCCGCC